AAAACGACUCUCGGCAACGGAUAUCUCGGCUCUCGCAUCGAUGAAGAACGUAGCGAAAUGCGAUACUUGGUGUGAAUUGCAGAAUCCCGUGAACCAUCGAGUCUUUGAACGCAAGUUGCGCCCGAAGCCGUCAGGCCUAGGGCACGUCUGCCUGGGCGUCACGC
This 164-nucleotide ribosomal RNA is filed under the name Calycophyllum spruceanum. RNAcentral's name for it is "5.8S ribosomal RNA". It matches the Rfam family "5.8S ribosomal RNA". From Rfam's summary of the family: 5.8S ribosomal RNA (5.8S rRNA) is a component of the large subunit of the eukaryotic ribosome. It is transcribed by RNA polymerase I as part of the 45S precursor that also contains 18S and 28S rRNA. The record is from RNAcentral. Lineage: Eukaryota; Viridiplantae; Streptophyta; Magnoliopsida; Gentianales; Rubiaceae.